This 655-nucleotide ribosomal RNA is filed under the name Escherichia coli. RNAcentral describes it as "partial 23S ribosomal RNA". It matches the Rfam family "Bacterial large subunit ribosomal RNA", at positions 2263 to 2912 of the family's 2925-position model. The record is from RNAcentral. Lineage: Bacteria; Pseudomonadati; Pseudomonadota; Gammaproteobacteria; Enterobacterales; Enterobacteriaceae.
GGGUAGUUUGACUGGGGCGGUCUCCUCCUAAAGAGUAACGGAGGAGCACGAAGGUUGGCUAAUCCUGGUCGGACAUCAGGAGGUUAGUGCAAUGGCAUAAGCCAGCUUGACUGCGAGCGUGACGGCGCGAGCAGGUGCGAAAGCAGGUCAUAGUGAUCCGGUGGUUCUGAAUGGAAGGGCCAUCGCUCAACGGAUAAAAGGUACUCCGGGGAUAACAGGCUGAUACCGCCCAAGAGUUCAUAUCGACGGCGGUGUUUGGCACCUCGAUGUCGGCUCAUCACAUCCUGGGGCUGAAGUAGGUCCCAAGGGUAUGGCUGUUCGCCAUUUAAAGUGGUACGCGAGCUGGGUUUAGAACGUCGUGAGACAGUUCGGUCCCUAUCUGCCGUGGGCGCUGGAGAACUGAGGGGGGCUGCUCCUAGUACGAGAGGACCGGAGUGGACGCAUCACUGGUGUUCGGGUUGUCAUGCCAAUGGCACUGCCCGGUAGCUAAAUGCGGAAGAGAUAAGUGCUGAAAGCAUCUAAGCACGAAACUUGCCCCGAGAUGAGUUCUCCCUGACCCUUUAAGGGUCCUGAAGGAACGUUGAAGACGACGACGUUGAUAGGCCGGGUGUGUAAGCGCAGCGAUGCGUUGAGCUAACCGGUACUAAUGAACCGU